RNAcentral lists this ribosomal RNA (1176 nucleotides) under uncultured bacterium. RNAcentral describes it as "bacterial SSU rRNA". It matches the Rfam family "Bacterial small subunit ribosomal RNA", at positions 26 to 1167 of the family's 1533-position model. The record is from RNAcentral.
AGGACGAACGCUGGCGGCGUGCCUAAUACAUGCAAGUCGAACGCACUGACGUCGACAGAAGGUGCUUGCACUGGAAGUUGAUUGACGUGAGUGGCGGACGGGUGAGUAACACGUGGGUAACCUGCCCUUAAGCGGGGGAUAACAUUUGGAAACAGAUGCUAAUACCGCAUAAAAGUUGAGAUCACAUGGUCUUAAUUUGAAAGACGGCCUUUGGCUGUCACUUAAGGAUGGACCCGCGGCAUAUUAGCUAGUUGGUGAGAUAAUAGCCCACCAAGGCGAUGAUACGUAGCCGACCUGAGAGGGUAAUCGGCCACAUUGGGACUGAGACACGGCCCAAACUCCUACGGGAGGCAGCAGUAGGGAAUCUUCCACAAUGGACGAAAGUCUGAUGGAGCAACGCCGCGUGAGUGAAGAAGGUUUUCGGAUCGUAAAACUCUGUUGUUGGAGAAGAACAGGGACUAGAGUAACUGUUAGUCCUUUGACGGUAUCCAACCAGAAAGCCACGGCUAACUACGUGCCAGCAGCCGCGGUAAUACGUAGGUGGCAAGCGUUGUCCGGAUUUAUUGGGCGUAAAGCGAGCGCAGGCGGUUUCUUAAGUCUGAUGUGAAAGCCUUCGGCUUAACCGAAGAAGUGCAUCAGAUACUGGGAAACUUGAGUGCAGAAGAGGGAAGUGGAACUCCAUGUGUAGCGGUGAAAUGCGUAGAUAUAUGGAAGAACACCAGUGGCGAAGGCGGCUUUCUGGUCUGUAACUGACGCUGAGGCUCGAAAGUAUGGGGAGCGAACAGGAUUAGAUACCCUGGUAGUCCAUACCGUAAACGAUGAAUGCUAAGUGUUGGAGAGUUUCCGCCCUUCAGUGCUGCAGCUAACGCAUUAAGCAUUCCGCCUGGGGAGUACGACCGCAAGGUUGAAACUCAAAGAAAUUGACGGGGGCCCGCACAAGCGGUGGAGCAUGUGGUUUAAUUCGAAGCUACGCGAAGAACCUUACCAGGUCUUGACAUCUAGCGCCAACCCUAGAGAUAGGACGUUCCCUUCGGGGACGCUAAGACAGGUGGUGCAUGGUUGUCGUCAGCUCGUGUCGUGAGAUGUUGGGUUAAGUCCCGCAACGAGCGCAACCCUUAUGAUUAGUUGCCAGCAUUUAGUUGGGCACUCUAAUCGGACUGCCGGUGACAAACCGGA